This 253-nucleotide ribosomal RNA is filed under the name uncultured bacterium. Its description in RNAcentral is "partial 16S ribosomal RNA". It matches the Rfam family "Bacterial small subunit ribosomal RNA", at positions 524 to 776 of the family's 1533-position model. The record is from RNAcentral.
GACGUAGGAGGCGAGCGUUGUCCGGAUUCAUUGGGCGUAAAGAGCGCGCAGGCGGCUUGGUAAGUCGGAUGUGAAAUCCCGAGGCUCAACCUCGGGUCUGCAUCCGAUACUGCCCGGCUAGAGGUAGGUAGGGGAGAUCGGAAUUCCUGGUGUAGCGGUGAAAUGCGUAGAGAUCGGAAAGAACACCAACGGCGAAAGCACUCUGCUGGGCCGACACUGACACUGAGAGACGAAAGCUAGGGGAGCGAAUGGG